CAAGAAUUGUGUAACUCAUCUGCAAAUCUAUGAAAGUAGAAUUUUUCACUGCAGAUUUUUGUUCAGUUCUUGUUUAUAAGUAGGGGUCAGUAUCUCCAAAUGGAAAAACUGAAGUGUUAUUCAUGACAGAAAAAUCCUGAAGUCUUUACACAAUGCCAGAGUGCUCUGCCUCUCUAGCUGUGAAAUGCAAGAGUGACUACAAGAAAAAGGCCACUACUGUGUCUGUAUUUGUAUCCUGCAGGGUGUCCCACAUCUGUUCGCCUGACCAUCACAUGCUUGAAGGCAGCACUGUGGGGAAACAUCUGGCAUUUAUAUGAGUGGAGAAGUCAACUAAAAUAUUUUUCAGUGUUAGAAGAGUCAAGAGAAGAGUUAAACACAAAGACAAAGGAAAGGUGACACUGGCUGGGGAACAGAUCCUCAGAUAAAGCACAGAGUCCAAUGAGGGCACUGUGCUUUGAGAUAACUGCAAUCUUGUUUGAGAAUGUACAGACAGAAACUGCAAACACCUUGAAGAGAUGCAGGGAACGUGCCCUAGGAGAGAAGAUUAUUUAUUCUGAAGGAGGAAAAACAGGAUGGAUUGUUCCACUUUAGUCAACUACAGCAUGAAUAAUGCCAGGCUCUAGAGGACUUAAAUGGGCCAAAAGAACAUUUUUUAGAGAUAAACUCUAUUUUAUCCUGCCAUUAAUAGAGAAGAAGGAAUAGAGUGAUUUCUUUAGGUGUCCUGUAAACAAUUCUAGAAUGCUUUAAAAAGAAGAUGAAAGGGCAAAUCUGAAACUGAAAUAAGCCUUAAAGUAGUUCAUUUAAAUUUUUAAGAUCUACAAAAGCCAAUUACCUUUCAUUUCUAGGUCACUUAAACUGUGUAUAUAUUCAUUACAUGACUACAUAACAAAAAGCAUUUAAAUUAUGCGUGGCCACAGGAAUUGCCAUGUUUCUCAAGCAAGUUUCUGAAUAUCCUUAGUACAUCUCAUAAAUGUCUCUACACUAAUGAUCCAAUUCAUUGUUAGUAUUCUUUUUGCUUUUCACUUAUUACAGUCCAGUUUUGGAAUAUAAAAUAUGCUUUCUAAAAUAAGAGUUUUCAUCACUUAUGUACUGCCAGCUAGCAAAGCAAAAAAUAGAGAAAAUGGCUAUUUCUAUUUCAUAUUGCUUAAUAUCCAUCACUUUAAUGGAAAUGAGAUAAAGUAGAUAAUCGUAAUAAGAAUAGCAUUAACAGCACAUACAUAUAUUACAUAUUUCUCAGAGGUACCAUUGUUGUACCAUUUACAUUGUUAAUAUUAAAAUGUCUCAAGCAGUACAACCCAAUGUAACCAGUACUAUAAAUAUUACCUUUAAUAAAAAGAGUUGAAUGAGAUUUUAACCUUGAAUU
This 1363-nucleotide long non-coding RNA is filed under the name Numida meleagris (helmeted guineafowl). Its description in RNAcentral is "lncRNA (ENSNMEG00000005060.1)". Lineage: Eukaryota; Metazoa; Chordata; Aves; Galliformes; Numididae. The record is from RNAcentral.